AGUGAACGCUGGCGGUAGGCCUAACACAUGCAAGUCGAACGGCAGCACAGUAAGAGCUUGCUCUUACGGGUGGCGAGUGGCGGACGGGUGAGGAAUACAUCGGACUCUACUUUUUCGUGGGGGAUAACGUAGGGAAACUUACGCUAAUACCGCAUACGACCUACGGGUGAAAGCAGGGGAUCUUCUGACCUUGCGCGAUUGAAUGCGCGGAUGUCGGAUUAGCUAGUUGGCGGGGUAAAGGCCCACCAAGGCGACGAUCCGUAGCUGGUCUGAGAGGAUGAUCAGCCACACUGGAACUGAGACACGGUCCAGACUCCUACGGGAGGCAGCAGUGGGGAAUAUUGGACAAUGGGCGCAAGCCUGAUCCAGCCAUACCGCGUGGGUGAAGAAGGCCUUCGGGUUGUAAAGCCCUUUUGUUGGGAAAGAAAAGCAGCAGGUUAAUACCCCGCUGUUCUGACGGUACCCAAAGAAUAAGCACCGGCUAACUUCGUG
This 492-nucleotide ribosomal RNA is filed under the name uncultured bacterium. Its description in RNAcentral is "partial 16S ribosomal RNA". It matches the Rfam family "Bacterial small subunit ribosomal RNA", at positions 29 to 507 of the family's 1533-position model. The record is from RNAcentral.